AUGAACCUUGAGGGUUGAGCUGGCGUUUAUUCGCAUGUGCUGCCCUCUCAUCCUUUAUACACCUGUGCACUUUUGAAGGGAGACAUUAGUAGACAAUUCACUUGUCGAAGGUAUCUCCCUUUACACUACAUACUCUAAGUGAUUACUUGUUGAAUGUUUAAACGCUUAACAGCAUUUAAUUA
RNAcentral lists this unclassified non-coding RNA (182 nucleotides) under soil metagenome. RNAcentral's name for it is "partial internal transcribed spacer 1". The record is from RNAcentral.